Molecule: long non-coding RNA, 1017 nt
Organism: Orbicella faveolata
Lineage: Eukaryota; Metazoa; Cnidaria; Anthozoa; Scleractinia; Merulinidae
Source: RefSeq, a predicted model, not a curated record
CCUUGAUUUGACAGGUGUCAAUUGAACAUAACAUGGAUGUCCAUUAUGAUCAGAGAUGUAUGCAGUAAACUGAGGCUGCAUGACUUGGUCGACCUAUUAGCGUAUUCCAUGCUGCUGGCCAUGUUGACCAUGAAAAAAGGUGUUGCAUGGUUUUCUAUUUCACUGAAUGCAUGUAUCUAAUGUAUCUCCAUGUAUCUGCACUUAUUUCUAUCUGUGCAUUUUGUUGUUGUUGUUGUAAUGUGGGUCUUUCCCUAGAAUUAUAGUGUUCCACUUUUCGGGCCACCAGAGCUCCACUAUUAAAACUGAAGUGUUAUUCUGUAGAUUAGCAGACUGAUGGAUAAAAGGUAAUAAAUGAGAGCCUUUUGAAAAUGAGGUUAUACACUUGAAAUAAUGUAAAGAUUUGACUUAGGUCUUAUCUUGAGGGGUAGGGUUGUUAAAUUAUUAUUAUUGAUAUCGUUAUAGUGAUAUGUAAGUGUUUCUCAACAGGCAAAUGCCCUGGUUAACAGCCUCAUUGGAGAAAGCAGAAUUUCAACAUUGGGUCUAGUGGUAGUUGAUGAGCUACAUAUGUUGGGUGAAACAGUAAGGGGUGCCACCUUAGAGAUGUGUUUGGCCAAGCUCAUGUUUGUUUCUUCCACCACCCAGAUAAUUGGAAUGAGUGCUACUUUAAGCAACAUUGCAGACUUGAAGGCAUUUUUAAAGGCUGAGGUGUAUUCAAAUGAUUUUAGACCAGUAAGUGUACAGUUAAAUUAGAUCCCAAUAGUGCAGGUGUGUUGGCCCAGCUAAUGGCUGGUGCACUGGAUUCCAGCUUGAGUUGUCUGGGUUUGAGCCCUGGCUGUGGACGUUGUGCUGUGUUCUUCAGCAAGACACUUUACUCUCACAGUGCCUCUCUCCACCCAGGUGUAUAUAUAUGGGUACCGGUGAAUUUAAUGCGUUAAACCAGGGGAGGGGGGCUAGCAGAAAUCCUCCUAGUCUCUUUAAUAGUGCUACAGAAGCCAGGGGUUUCAUUAAGGGCCAGGC